UGAAGCUCAACUGUUACAUGAAUGGUUUGAACUAGUGUUGGAGAAGAAUAGAUUAAUGCGCUAUGAAGCUGAACUAUUGAUCAUAGCCAAAGAUAUAGAACUGGAAGAUCAUCGGAAUGACUGGAGGAGGACCGAGACAGAAAAAUAACUACUGAUGAUAACAAAAUAGAUAUUUAAGGGCCUAAAUAAUGAACAAGGGAUAUGAUGAGAAAAGAGGCAGGAGGAAGCUAACAGUAUCUUCCUGAAGGGACAGAAAGCGUGAAUAAGAUGAACUACAUUUUGAGAAGUUUUACA
Non-coding RNA from Python bivittatus (Burmese python), 294 nucleotides. The record is from RefSeq and is a predicted model, not a curated record. Lineage: Eukaryota; Metazoa; Chordata; Lepidosauria; Squamata; Pythonidae.